This 21-nucleotide small nuclear RNA is filed under the name Arabidopsis thaliana (thale cress). Its description in RNAcentral is "snRNA_15108". The record is from RNAcentral. Lineage: Eukaryota; Viridiplantae; Streptophyta; Magnoliopsida; Brassicales; Brassicaceae.
CUCUAUUAUAGCAUUAAUUAU